UGUUUAGCAAUUCCAUCUGAAGAGGAGUCGCUCCAUACAAGAGGCCACUCUGUUUCGGGGGCCGAGUGAUUUGCUCGGUGAAGGAGAACCUCACUGGUGUUGUUCCAGCAGGCCACUGCACUUGGACAAGCCCGCCAAUGAGGGAGGCUUUGGACAUUUGCAGCAGUUCGGCAUUUCCAAGUUGGGAGCAUCUUAUCUGCCUGGAGCUCCAGCAUAACCCUGGCUUGGUGGCUGCAAACUGCAUUCUGGAUACGCCGGUCACCCCCAUCCAUUGCCAUACCAGCUUCCCACGGAGCAGCCUGACGCAGUGGAUCCUUUCUUUUUUGAAAAAGUCAGCGAGUGAGAAGUAACAUCCCUACAAGCUAUAUAUGUGACUAGAAACGCAGAGCGAUUCCUCUUUUGGAAUUUCAAUUUCAAAUAUUCUGGGAAAGAUUCUUGCCGGCCCUGGUUGAGUCACCUGAACACCACUUGGACCUAUCACUGUGGAAAAUGAGAUGUUCUGAUUGGUCUUGUCAUCUCUCACCAAGAAGACUGCAACUCACCAAAUGAACUGAAGGCAGCCACUGGAAAAAUUUCUGUGAGCUGAGCCGACACCACAAUCUGUGCCUUUCUCACAGAGUGCUGAUGCUGAUGUAGAGCACAGAAGUUGAGGUAAAUAUUGCUAAGGCAUAGAUUUUAACUCAUCAAGUUCAUUGGGAUUGUGUGAUAUCAU
Diceros bicornis minor is the source of this 712-nucleotide long non-coding RNA. RefSeq lists it as uncharacterized. NCBI's taxonomy places the organism in Eukaryota, Metazoa, Chordata, Mammalia, Perissodactyla, Rhinocerotidae. The record is from RefSeq and is a predicted model, not a curated record. The transcript has 3 exons.